GGUCAAGUGACUAAGCGCAUACGGUGGAUGCCUUGGCGGUAGAAGGCGAUGAAGGACGUUGUAGCCUGCGAUAAGCCUCGGGGAGCUGGCAAACAAGCUUUGAUCCGGGGAUUUCCGAAUGGGGAAACCCACCCUUCGGGGUAUCCUGUCCGUUCGGGCAGGAGGCGAACCCAGGGAACUGAAACAUCUAAGUACCUGGAGGAAAAGAAAUCAACCGAGAUUCCCUAAGUAGCGGCGAGCGAAAGGGGACUAGCCUAUCUCGCAGUGAGUAGUGGAACGGUCUGGAAAGUCCGGCGAUACAGGGUGAUAGCCCCGUACACGAAACGAUCUGCAGGAGAUAUCAAGUAGGGCGGGACACGUGUUAUCCUGUCUGAAGAUGGGGGGACCACCCUCCAAGGCUAAAUACUCUCUACCGACCGAUAGUGAACCAGUACCGUGAGGGAAAGGCGAAAAGAACCCCGUAGAGGGGAGUGAAAUAGAACCUGAAACCGUAUGCGUACAAGCAGUCGGAGCCCGUAAGGGUGACGGCGUACCUUUUGUAUAAUGGGUCAGCGACUUACUUCUCAGUGGCAAGCUUAACCGUUUAGGGGAGGCGUAGGGAAACCGAGUCUUAACAGGGCGACAGUCGCUGGGAGUAGACCCGAAACCGAGUGAUCUAGCCAUGGGCAGGUUGAAGGUGCGGUAACACGCACUGGAGGGCCGAACCCACUGUCGUUGAAAAGCCAGGGGAUGACCUGUGGCUAGGGGUGAAAGGCCAAUCAAACUCGGAGAUAGCUGGUUCUCCUCGAAAGCUAUUUAGGUAGCGCCUCGUGUCUCACCCCGGGGGGUAGAGCACUGUUUCGGCUAGGGGGCCAUCCCGGCUUACCAAACCGAUGCAAACUCCGAAUACCCGGGAGUGCAAUCACGGGAAACACACGGCGGGUGCUAACGUCCGUCGUGGAGAGGGAAACAACCCAGACCGCCAGCUAAGGUCCCUAAAUCGUGGCUCAGUGGGAAACGAUGUGGGAAGGCCCAGACAGCCAGGAGGUUGGCUUAGAAGCAGCCACCCUUUAAAGAAAGCGUAAUAGCUCACUGGUCGAGUCGGCCCGCGCGGAAGAUUUAACGGGGCUCAAGCCACGUACCGAAGCUGCGGAUACGCCUUGUGCGUAUGGUAGAGGAGCGUUCUGUAAGCCGUUGAAGGUGUGCUGUGAGGCAUGCUGGAGGUAUCAGAAGUGCGAAUGCUGACAUGAGUAACGAUAAAGGGGGUGAGAGGCCCCCUCGCCGAAAGUCCAAGGGUUCCUGCGCAACGUUAAUCGGCGCAGGGUUAGUCGGCCCCUAAGGCAAAGCCGAAAGGCGUAGUCGAUGGGAAUCAGGUUAAUAUUCCUGAACCUGCUGGUGAGUGACGGAUUCCGAAAGUCAGUCUUGCGUGACGGUUUGCAAGGCUGGCCUGGGAGUUCCAGGAAAUAGCCCCAGCGUAUAGACCGUACCCCAAACCGACACAGGUGGACAGGGUGAGUAUCCCAAGGCGCUUGAGAGAACUCGGGUGAAGGAACUAGGCAAAAUGGUACCGUAACUUCGGGAGAAGGUACGCCCACCUCGGUGCAAGCCUUGGUGGGCCGCAGUGAAAAGGUGGCUGCAACUGUUUACUAAAAACAUAGCACUCUGCAAACUCGAAAGAGGACGUAUAGGGUGUGACGCCUGCCCGGUGCCGGAAGGUUAAUUGAUCGGGUUAGCCCUCGGGCGAAGCUCGUGAUCGAAGCCCCGGUAAACGGCGGCCGUAACUAUAACGGUCCUAAGGUAGCGAAAUUCCUUGUCGGGUAAGUUCCGACCUGCACGAAUGGCGUAAUGAUGGCCACACUGUCUCCACCCGAGACUCAGUGAAAUUGAAAUCGCAGUUAAGAUGCUGUGUACCCGCGGCUAGACGGAAAGACCCCGUGAACCUUUACUACAGCUUUACACUGGACUUUGAACCUACCUGUGUAGGAUAGGUGGGAGGCUUUGAAGCCGGGACGCCAGUCUCGGUGGAGCCGUCCUUGAAAUACCACCCUGGUAUGUUUGAAGUUCUAACCCAGGCAUUAGAGUGUCGGGGACAGUGUAUGGUGGGUAGUUUGACUGGGGCGGUCUCCUCCCAAAGAGUAACGGAGGAGCGCGAAGGUACCCUAAGUACGGUCGGACAUCGUACGGUUAGUGCAAUGGCAUAAGGGUGCUUGACUGCGAGACGGACACGUCGAGCAGGUGCGAAAGCAGGUCAUAGUGAUCCGGUGGUUCUGUGUGGAAGGGCCAUCGCUCAACGGAUAAAAGGUACUCCGGGGAUAACAGGCUGAUACCGCCCAAGAGUUCAUAUCGACGGCGGUGUUUGGCACCUCGAUGUCGGCUCAUCACAUCCUGGGGCUGAAGUCGGUCCCAAGGGUAUGGCUGUUCGCCAUUUAAAGUGGUACGCGAGCUGGGUUUAGAACGUCGUGAGACAGUUCGGUCCCUAUCUGCCGUGGGCGUUUGAGAACUGAGGGAAGCUGCUCCUAGUACGAGAGGACCGGAGUGGACGAACCUCUGGUGUUCCGGUUGUCACGCCAGUGGCACUGCCGGGUAGCUACGUUCGGACAGGAUAACCGCUGAAAGCAUCUAAGCGGGAAGCCCCUCCCAAGAUAAGUUCUCACUGAGCUUUAAGCUCCUGUAGGGCCCUCGAAGACUACGAGGUUGAUAGGCUGGGUGUGGAAACGCGGUAACGUGUGAAGCUAACCAGUACUAAUUGCCCGUGAGGCUUGACCAU
The sequence is a ribosomal RNA, 2746 nucleotides long. It matches the Rfam family "Bacterial large subunit ribosomal RNA". The record is from Rfam.